This 751-nucleotide ribosomal RNA is filed under the name Vreelandella aquamarina. Its description in RNAcentral is "bacterial SSU rRNA". It matches the Rfam family "Bacterial small subunit ribosomal RNA", at positions 34 to 787 of the family's 1533-position model. The record is from RNAcentral. Lineage: Bacteria; Pseudomonadati; Pseudomonadota; Gammaproteobacteria; Oceanospirillales; Halomonadaceae.
UGCUGGCGCAGACUACCAUGCAGUCGAGCGGUAACAGAUCCAGCUUGCUGGAUGCUGACGAGCGGCGGACGGGUGAGUAAUGCAUAGGAAUCUGCCCGAUAGUGGGGGAUAACCUGGGGAAACCCAGGCUAAUACCGCAUACGUCCUACGGGAGAAAGGGGGCUUCGGCUCCCGCUAUCGGAUGAGCCUAUGUCGGAUUAGCUAGUUGGUGAGGUAACGGCUCACCAAGGCCACGAUCCGUAGCUGGUCUGAGAGGAUGAUCAGCCACAUCGGGACUGAGACACGGCCCGAACUCCUACGGGAGGCAGCAGUGGGGAAUAUUGGACAAUGGGGGGAACCCUGAUCCAGCCAUGCCGCGUGUGUGAAGAAGGCCCUCGGGUUGUAAAGCACUUUCAGCGAGGAAGAACGCCUAGCGGUUAAUACCCGCUAGGAAAGACAUCACUCGCAGAAGAAGCACCGGCUAACUCCGUGCCAGCAGCCGCGGUAAUACGGAGGGUGCAAGCGUUAAUCGGAAUUACUGGGCGUAAAGCGCGCGUAGGUGGCUUGAUAAGCCGGUUGUGAAAGCCCCGGGCUCAACCUGGGAACGGCAUCCGGAACUGUCAAGCUAGAGUGCAGGAGAGGAAGGUAGAAUUCCCGGUGUAGCGGUGAAAUGCGUAGAGAUCGGGAGGAAUACCAGUGGCGAAGGCGGCCUUCUGGACUGACACUGACACUGAGGUGCGAAAGCGUGGGUAGCAAACAGGAUUAGAUACCC